GCGUGAGUGAUGANGGCNUUAGGGUUGUAAAGCUCUUUCGCCAGGGNNGAUAANNNCGGUACCUGGAUAAGAAGCCCCGGCUAACUUCGUGCCAGCAGNCGCGGUAAUACGAAGGGGGCUAGCGUUGUUCGGAAUUACUGGGCGUAAAGCGCACGUAGGCGGCUUUCCAAGUUGGAGGUGAAAUCCCCGGGCUUAACCCGGGNNCNGCCGCCAAAACUGAAAAGCUAGAGUCCGAGAGAGGUGAGUGGAAUUUCCAGUGUAGAGGUGAAAUUCGUAGAUAUUGGAAAGAACACCAGUGGCGAAGGCGGCUCACUGGCUCGGUACUGACGCUGAGGUGCGACAGCGUGGG
This 349-nucleotide ribosomal RNA is filed under the name uncultured bacterium. Its description in RNAcentral is "partial 16S ribosomal RNA". It matches the Rfam family "Bacterial small subunit ribosomal RNA", at positions 399 to 765 of the family's 1533-position model. The record is from RNAcentral.